This 568-nucleotide ribosomal RNA is filed under the name Bombus brevivillus. RNAcentral's name for it is "partial 16S ribosomal RNA". It matches the Rfam family "Bacterial large subunit ribosomal RNA", at positions 1797 to 2647 of the family's 2925-position model. Lineage: Eukaryota; Metazoa; Arthropoda; Insecta; Hymenoptera; Apidae. The record is from RNAcentral.
CACCUGUUUAUCAAAAACAUGGCUUAUUGAAAAUAAUUUUAGGUUAAUCUGCCCAAUGAUUUUAAUUAAAUGGCUGCAGUAUAAUUGACUGUACAAAGGUAGCAUAAUCAAUUGUUUUUUAAUUGAAAACUAGAAUGAAAGAAUUAAUGAGAUAUAUACUGUCUCAUAUAUAUUUAAUGAAUUUAAAUUUUUAGUAAAAAUGCUUAAAUAAUUUUAUGGGACGAUAAGACCCUAUAGAAUUUUAUAUUAAUAUUUUAUAAAUUAUUUUGUAUAAAUAUUAAUAUUUAAUUGGGAGGAUUAAUAAAUUUAUAGAACUUUAUUUUAAAAAUAAACUUUGAUUUUAGAAUUAAUUUUUGAUCUUUUAUUAAAAAUCAAAAGAAUAAAUUACCUUAGGGAUAACAGCGUAAUAUUUUUUUAAAGAUCAUAUUUAAAAAAGUGUUUGCGACCUCGAUGUUGAAUUAAGAUAAAUUUUAAACGAAGAAGUUUAUUAAUUAAGUCUGUUCGACUUUUAAAAUCUUACAUGAUUUGAGUUCAAAUCGACGUGAGUCAGAUUGGUUUCUAUCUAUAA